GACGAACGCUGGCGGCGUGCUUAACACAUGCAAGUCGAACGGAAAGGCCCUGCUUUUGUGGGGUGCUCGAGUGGCGAACGGGUGAGUAACACGUGAGUAACCUGCCCUUGACUUUGGGAUAACUUCAGGAAACUGGGGCUAAUACCGGAUAGGAGCUCCUGCUGCAUGGUGGGGGUUGGAAAGUUUCGGCGGUUGGGGAUGGACUCGCGGCUUAUCAGCUUGUUGGGGGGGUAGUGGCUUACCAAGGCUUUGACGGGUAGCCGGCCUGAGGGGGUGACCGGCGCAACGGGAACUGAGACACGGUCCAGGCUCCUAAGGGAGGCAGCGGUAGGGAACCUUCGGCAAUGGGCGAAAGCCUGACGGAGCAACGCCGCGUGAGUGAGGAAGGUCUUCGGAUCGUAAAACUGUGUUAUGAGGGAAGAACAAAUGUGUAAGUAACUAUGCACGUCUUGACGGUACCUAAUCAGAAAGCCACGGCUAACUACGUG
RNAcentral lists this ribosomal RNA (488 nucleotides) under uncultured bacterium. RNAcentral describes it as "partial 16S ribosomal RNA". It matches the Rfam family "Bacterial small subunit ribosomal RNA", at positions 28 to 507 of the family's 1533-position model. The record is from RNAcentral.